RNAcentral lists this ribosomal RNA (1070 nucleotides) under uncultured bacterium. RNAcentral describes it as "bacterial SSU rRNA". It matches the Rfam family "Bacterial small subunit ribosomal RNA", at positions 8 to 973 of the family's 1533-position model. The record is from RNAcentral.
AGAGUUUGAUCCUGGCUCAGAUUGAACGCUGAGGCUUAACACAUGCAAGUCGAGCGGGGAAGGUUGCUUCGGUAACUGACCUAGCGGCGGACGGGUGAGUAAUGCUUAGGAAUCUGCCUAUUAGUGGGGGACAACAUUCCGAAAGGAAUGCUAAUACCGCAUACGCCCUACGGGGGAAAGCAGGGGAUCUCGGACCUUGCGCUAAUAGAUGAGCCUAAGUCGGAUUAGCUAGUUGGUGGGGUAAAGGCCUACCAAGGCGACGAUCUGUAGCGGGUCUGAGAGGAUGAUCCGCCACACUGGGACUGCCUACCAAGGCGACGAUCUGUAGCGGGUCUGAGAGGAUGAUCCGCCACACUGGGACUGCCUACCAAGGCGACGAUCUGUAGCGGGUCUGAGAGGAUGAUCCGCCACACUGGGACUGAACACGGCCCAGACUCCUACGGGAGGCAGCAGUGGGGAAUAUUGGACAAUGGGCGGAAGCCUGAUCCAGCCAUGCCGCGUGUGUGAAGAAGGCCUUUUGGUUGUAAAGCACUUUAAGCGAGGAGGAGGCUCCUUUAGUUAAUACCUAAAGAGAGUGGACGUUACUCGCAGAAUAAGCACCGGCUAACUCUGUGCCAGCAGCCGCGGUAAUACAGAGGGUGCGAGCGUUAAUCGGAUUUACUGGGCGUAAAGCGUGCGUAGGCGGCUUUUUAAGUCGGAUGUGAAAUCCCUGAGCUUAACUUAGGAAUUGCAUUCGAUACUGGAAAGCUAGAGUAUGGGAGAGGAUGGUAGAAUUCCAGGUGUAGCGGUGAAAUGCGUAGAGAUCUGGAGGAAUACCGAUGGCGAAAGGCAGCCAUCUGGGCCUAAUACUGACGCUGAGGUACGAAAGCAUGGGGAGCAAACAGGAUUAGAUACCCUGGUAGUCCAUGCCGUAAACGAUGUCUACUAGCCGUUGGGGCCUUUGAGGCUUUAGUGGCGCAGCUAACGCGAUAAGUAGACCGCCUGGGGAGUACGGUCGCAGACUAAAACUCAAAGGAAUUGACGGGGGCCGCACAGCGUGAGCAUGUGUUUAUCGAUGCACGCGAGACUUA